This 535-nucleotide ribosomal RNA is filed under the name uncultured bacterium. Its description in RNAcentral is "bacterial SSU rRNA". It matches the Rfam family "Bacterial small subunit ribosomal RNA", at positions 777 to 1304 of the family's 1533-position model. The record is from RNAcentral.
AAUAGAUACCCGGGUAGUCCACGCCGUAAACGGUGGGCACUAGGUGUGGGCAGCAUUCCACGUUGUCCGUGCCGUAGCUAACGCAUUAAGUGCCCCGCCUGGGGAGUACGGCCGCAAGGCUAAAACUCAAAGGAAUUGACGGGGGGCCCGCACAAGCGGCGGAGCAUGUGGCUUAAUUCGACGCAACGCGAAGAACCUUACCAAGGCUUGACAUACACCGGAAACAUCCAGAGAUGGGUGCCCCCUUGUGGUCGGUGUACAGGUGGUGCAUGGCUGUCGUCAGCUCGUGUCGUGAGAUGUUGGGUUAAGUCCCGCAACGAGCGCAACCCUUGUCCCGUGUUGCCAGCAGGCCCUUGUGGUGCUGGGGACUCACGAGAGACCGCCGGGGUCAACUCGGAGGAAGGUGGGGACGACGUCAAGUCAUCAUGCCCCUUAUGUCUUGGGCUGCACACGUGCUACAAUGGCCGGUACAAAGAGCUGCGAUACCGUGAGGUGGAGCGAAUCUCAAAAAGCCGGUCUCAGUUCGGAUUGGGGU